This 71-nucleotide transfer RNA is filed under the name Reticulitermes tibialis. RNAcentral's name for it is "tRNA-Ser". The record is from RNAcentral. Lineage: Eukaryota; Metazoa; Arthropoda; Insecta; Blattodea; Rhinotermitidae.
GUUAAAAAGCAACAGAAUAAGCCUAAUGUCUUGAAAACAUUAUGAGAGAAGUUCAAUCCUUCUAUUAACUU